This is a long non-coding RNA of Xenia sp. Carnegie-2017, 555 nucleotides long. RefSeq lists it as uncharacterized. Lineage: Eukaryota; Metazoa; Cnidaria; Anthozoa; Malacalcyonacea; Xeniidae. The record is from RefSeq and is a predicted model, not a curated record. The transcript is spliced from 2 exons.
UGUAUUUUUGUCAUUGAUGGUGUCAUUAGUAUUGUCAGGUUCUCUCAAUAUGCGUUUGUUAUGGUUAUUAAUAAUAUGUUCCAUAUUGUUCAUGCAGCUGUAACUUAAUUUAAUUGUGUUGCGGUUAAAUAGUUUUCUGAGUUUGUGGUCUAUGGGAAAGUGCUUGUCAAUUAGUGAAAUGAAUUUGUAGCCGAUGUUUGUGCUGACGUUCUUGCUGUAUGGUGGGUUGUACCAGAGUAUGUUAUUUCUAAGUCUGUUUUUCCGUUUCGUAGUAGCGUUUGGGUCAUAUUUCAGUGUGUAAUGAUAUCCAUUUUCGUCAAGUGCUUUUUGGUAUGGAGGGAUUGCUUGGUCGAAUGAUGCUCUGUCGGAUGAUAAGGAUGAAAGGCGUUUGUUAAUGGUAUCGGGUGUUGCUUUAGUAAUGGCUAGUCCGUCGUCGCGAUAGAGUCCUAUGUUAGUAAUGAUGUGUUGCAGUUGUGAGAGUAGAUAGCUUCCUACGAGUUCGCAUGUUUCGGCGCCGUCGAAGCUGCCCAUUGUCACGUCGAAUGUGGAGUUGUA